Molecule: non-coding RNA, 126 nt
Filed under: Lyngbya sp.
Lineage: Bacteria; Bacillati; Cyanobacteriota; Cyanophyceae; Oscillatoriales; Microcoleaceae
Source: RNAcentral
AGUUAUUACUCGUUAAACAGUAACCUGUUGGGAAACUCCGGUGAAACUCCGGGGCUGUGCGGCAACUGUAAGUCAUUCACGAGCAAAUUGACAAGCCAGAAGGCCAACUGGUUACGCACCACUCUA